RNAcentral lists this ribosomal RNA (459 nucleotides) under uncultured bacterium. RNAcentral describes it as "partial 16S ribosomal RNA". It matches the Rfam family "Bacterial small subunit ribosomal RNA", at positions 338 to 795 of the family's 1533-position model. The record is from RNAcentral.
CCUACGGGCGGCAGCAGUGAGGAAUAUUGGUCAAUGGCCGGAAGGCUGAACCAGCCAAGCCGCGUGAAGGACGAAGGUGCCAAGCAUUGUAAACUUCUUUUGCCAAGGGACAAAAUCAGGCUCGAGAGUCUGACCGAGGGUACUUGAAGAAAAAGCAUCGGCUAACUCCGUGCCAGCAGCCGCGGUAAUACUGAGGAUGCGAGCGUUAUCCGGAUUUAUUGGGUUAAAAGGGUGCGUAGGCGGGCUGUUAAGUCAGCGGUAAAAAGGCGGUGCUCAACGCCGUACAGCCGUUGAAACUGGCAGUCUUGAGUGGGCGAGAGGUAUGCGGAAUGCGUGGUGUAGCGGUGAAAUGCAUAGAUAUGAUGAAGAACCCCGAUUGCGAAGGCAGCUUGCUGCAGCGGAACUGACGCUGAUGCUCGAAAGCGCGGGUAUCGAACAGGAUUAGAUACCCCAGUAGUC